This is a non-coding RNA of Fomitiporia mediterranea MF3/22, 93 nucleotides long. NCBI's taxonomy places the organism in Eukaryota, Fungi, Basidiomycota, Agaricomycetes, Hymenochaetales, Hymenochaetaceae. The record is from the annotation of a RefSeq genome assembly.
GACUCACUGGUCUAGCGGUUAUGAUUUCUGUCUAACAUUGUUCAAUUGUGAAGUCUACACAGAAGGUUCCUGGUUCGAUUCCAGGGUGAGUCA